UCCAGACUCCUACGGGAGGCAGCAGUGGGGGAUAUUGCACAAUGGGGGAAACCCUGAUGCAGCGACGCCGCGUGUGGGAAGACGGUCUUCUGGAUUGUAAACCACUGUCCCCAGGGACGAAAAUGACGGUACCUGGGGAGGAAGCUCCGGCUAACUACGUGCCAGCAGCCGCGGUAAUACGUAGGGGGCAAGCGUUAUCCGGAUUUACUGGGUGUAAAGGGAGCGUAGACGGCGAUGCAAGUCUGAAGUGAAAGGCGGGGGCCCAACCCCCGGACUGCUUUGGAAACUGUAUAGCUGGAGUGCAGGAGAGGUAAGUGGAAUUCCUAGUGUAGCGGUGAAAUGCGUAGAUAUUAGGAGGAACACCAGUGGCGAAGGCGGCUUACUGGACUGUAACUGACGUUGAGGCUCGAAAGCGUGGGGAGCAAACAGGAUUAGAUACCCCAGUA
RNAcentral lists this ribosomal RNA (446 nucleotides) under uncultured bacterium. RNAcentral's name for it is "bacterial SSU rRNA". It matches the Rfam family "Bacterial small subunit ribosomal RNA", at positions 330 to 792 of the family's 1533-position model. The record is from RNAcentral.